RNAcentral lists this ribosomal RNA (496 nucleotides) under uncultured bacterium. Its description in RNAcentral is "partial 16S ribosomal RNA". It matches the Rfam family "Bacterial small subunit ribosomal RNA", at positions 29 to 507 of the family's 1533-position model. The record is from RNAcentral.
AUGAACGCUGGCGGCGUGCCUAAUACAUGCAAGUCGAGCGAACAGACGAGGUGCUUGCUCCUCUGACGUUAGCGGCGGACGGGUGAGUAACACGUGGAUAACCUACCUAUAAGACUGGGAUAACUUCGGGAAACCGGAGCUAAUACCGGAUAAUAUAUUGAACCGCAUGGUUCAAUAGUGAAAGACGGUUUUGCUGUCACUUAUAGAUGGAUCCGCGCCGCAUUAGCUAGUUGGUAAGGUAACGGCUUACCAAGGCAACGAUGCGUAGCCGACCUGAGAGGGUGAUCGGCCACACUGGAACUGAGACACGGUCCAGACUCCUACGGGAGGCAGCAGUAGGGAAUCUUCCGCAAUGGGCGAAAGCUUGACGGAGCAACGCCGCGUGAGUGAUGAAGGUCUUCGGAUCGUAAAACUCUGUUAUUAGGGAAGAACAAAUGUGUAAGUAACUAUGCACGUCUUGACGGUACCUAAUCAGAAAGCCACGGCUAACUACGUG